This is an RNA transcript of Solanum tuberosum (potato), 5823 nucleotides long. It is a transcript of the gene named probable LRR receptor-like serine/threonine-protein kinase At3g47570, with no coding region annotated. NCBI's taxonomy places the organism in Eukaryota, Viridiplantae, Streptophyta, Magnoliopsida, Solanales, Solanaceae. The transcript has 4 exons. The record is from RefSeq and is a predicted model, not a curated record.
AUUCUUCUAAUUCGCAGCCGGUCCCAAGCCCGGAAAAAGGAGGAGGGUUAAUUGUCUUUCAGAAGUCAGAUCCUUCAUAAAUAUGAACCAUAUAAAACCUGUAAUAGUUGUGGUUCUCUGUCUCACAUACUCUCUCACUCUCUUUCUUGUAGGUGUGCUUGCGCGUACAUAUUCCCAUUGUGUAGAGUUUUUCUCUUGUCAGCAUAUCCACUUCUUUUUCUUUCAAAAUGUCCUUUUAUCCUAACAUCUGUUCAAAAUUAUAACAUUUACUUGGCUUCUGCUUGUGUACAAUAAUGUUUGCUAUAACUGCUCAUGACAUGUUUUUGAUUGCCUUUUAUAUUGACUGCAUAUGUCAUGUUAUGGUUGUUCAAUUCUGGAAACAUCCGAAAAUUUCAACUUCAGUAGAGUUUUGAGAGUUGUGACUGUGAAGAAGCCUUUUAUUCUUUUAAUCAUUGACAAAGUCAUUUGAUAUAGAAUGUGACAUGAUGAUUCUCUUUCAAAUAUGAAGUAGUCUACAUAAGAAGAAGAAUAUCCCCCAAACAUCAUUAUGAAAAAAGUCAACACACAGCAUGUUUCUGUUAUACUGGUGAAUAUUUGGAGCAUGCUUUUGGUGAUCUUUCCUUUCUUGUGUCGAUUGAUCUAAGCCUCAACAAUUUCCAUGGUGAACUUCCAUCAGAAUUUACGAAGAUUGGGAGAGGUUGAUCUUAGUUACAACAACUUCACUGGAGAAAUUCCAAUAGGACUAGCUACUCUUCCGCGUUUGAAAGGGUUGAGUUUUGGAUUCGAUGAAUCACUUAAUGGCUCCAACGUGCUUUCCAUAUUGAGCAUCUUAACACUAGAAUAUUUGGAUCUUGGAAAUGCUGGUUUAACUGGUGAUAUCCCUUCUGAUUUAUGUCAUCACGUUCCCAGAUUGCAAGCUCUUGGACUUGACUCCAAUGUGUUAAGUGGAUGGAUACCAAGAACUAUAUCUAAUUGCUCGGAACGUCCAACUCCUAUGGAAAAUAACUUUGAGAACUAGGUAACUUACAGCUGCUGGAAGAAUUACAUCUAUCAGAAAACAACUUACAAGGUAUGUGUUUACCAUUUUUCUACGGAGUUUUAACUUGGAAAUUUGAGAAAUUUAUCUACUUUGGUUCUGGAUAGUAAUGACUUUACUGGAACUGUCCCGACAACGAUAAUUUCUUUGAAAAAUCUUCAGAGGCUUUCACUUGGUAGAAACAGAAUAAGUGGUUCUUUCACUUGGGAGGACUAAAUUGAUUUAACUAUCUCUGGCUCAUAACAGUUGUCAAGGAUCUAUUCCUGAGACAUUUGGGGAACUGAUAGAGUUAAACACAUUGGAUCUUUUGUAUAGCAAUAUGUCUGGUGUGAUUCCAAAGUCAUUAGAGGCACUUAAGAAGCUAGUCUUCUUUAAUGUCUCAUUCAACAGGUUACACGGGGAAAUUUCGUUUGGAAGACCUUAUAUUAAUCUCUCUUACCAAUCUUUUAUGUCGAAUGAAGGAUUGUGUGGUAACCCUCAAAAGCAUGUCCCGGCUUGUCCUUCUAAUUCAAAGAAUCAGUCGUAAGUCCAAGAAAAGAAGACUGAUAUGGAUUAUAGUUGCGUCUUCUGUUAUCUCUGUGAUAGGGACUGCCUCAGUAAUAGUUUUCGUGUUGAUGAGACGCCGAGGUAAAACAAUCAAUGCUGAAGAGGAGUGGUCACCUGAGGUAUCACCACAAUGAAUUUCUUACUAUGAACUUCAAAGAGCAACUCAGGGCUUUGAUGUAAAUAAUUUGCUAGGUAGUGGAUGGUUCUGUUUACAAAGGGACAUUAACAGAUGGGAUGACUGUAGCUGUCAAAGUUUUCAAUGUGCAGAUGGAAGGCACAUUUCAAACCUUUAACAGAGAAUGUGAAAUCUUUCGAAAUCUUCGUCACAGAAAUCUCACCAAAAUCAUUAGCAGCUGUUGUAACUUGGAUUUUAAAGCAUUGAUACUUGAGUACAUGCCAAACAAGAGCUUAAACAAGUUGCUGUAUUCUCGAGAUUACUGUUUAACUAUAAUGCAGAAAUUGAAUAUCGUGUUCGACGUUGCAUCUGCUUUGGAAUUUCUCCAUCAUGGUUACUCAGUUCCGGUUAUUCGCUGUGAUCUUAAGCCUAGCAACGUGUUACUAAGGAUGAACAUGACUGAUGUUGUAGCAGCAUUGGCAAAGAUCAAACAGAAGCUUUCUUCCUGUUAUUGAACUACAUAAUGACAUGACAUCAGCAGAACUCCUGGGAUUUGAUCACUACAUUCCCCCUUUUUGCAAGUGCAGAAGGUAGUCAGAUCUUGGAAGGUGUAAAUUAUGCAUCUGGUUCAGCUGGAAUUUGCAAUGACAGCGGAAGUCAUCUUGUAAUUCAACUAGACAUCACUAAAAUUUUCGUAUCUGCUGGAAGAGCAUGCGGCUGAAGAUCCUUUCUGUUGGAAGACUGCUGGGGUGAUGAUUUCAAGAACCUCUGCAUUAAGACCAAGGAAUGAGGUUGUCCAGCCACAAACUCUCUGAUUUGAGAUCUUGAAGUCCCAGAUAGAAACCAACUAGGAUCUUGUAGCUGAUCUUAAUACCAAUUUUCCAGACGCGAACUUCACAUUUAUAAAUAUAUACAGCAUUUCAUCAUUCCUCGGUAUGUACUCAAAUAACAUCAUUUUGUGACUUGUAACAUGAUUGGAUUGGCUAUUUUUGCUCGUCUUAUUUCAGAGCCCAUUAAUGUGUUGAAUCGUCCAUGCUGUAAAGUUUUGGAAACGAUGCCUGAAGGACAAUGUGUUCCUGGAGAAACUCCAUGCUUGCGUAGGAAGAAUUUAUCUUUUCUAUGAUAAUUUUCAUCCAACAGAGAGGCCGAGUAAAGUUCAUGUGUUUCACCAUUUGAUUGAUUACGUUUAAUAAGUUUUACUUAUGAUCUUCCCAUUUAGGGAGUUUCGGAUUUUGUUUCUUAGAUUGAUUUAUUAAUUGUACACCUACAAUAUAUUUAGCUCUUAGUCUUGGAAUAAUACAUUCAAUGAGGAAAUUAUUGUCUCUACAUUUUACAUUUCCUAAGCCAUGAAUGACUAGAAACAGCUCGAGCCUAAUGACAACAACUUUACCAAUUACGUUAAUACUCUCCUUCUUAAGCUAGAGUCAAAGGAUUAAAAGGCACCAUUGUUUGUUAAAAGGGUCAUGCGUAUUAUAAAGAAAGUUUGUUCCUCUCAUCCUCUUCUUCUAUUUGUGUGAUUUCUGGUCUUCAUCCUCCCCUGUUAUCUUUUCGAUUUCCUUUUACGACUGAUAUUAUUUUCUUGUAGUUGUAAUUUGUGUUCUCAGUAUUAUAAUACAUAUCAUUGUGGUGUUGGUAAUUUGAGUUGGUACAUGUUUCUUUCUUGAUCUUCAUCCUCCCCUGCUCAUAUUGAUCUUUGAAUGAGAUCUUUUUGAAGUGAAAAUAUAAGCAAAUUUAUGUUAUAACAUAUUUCUUGGAGUAAAUUUGAAAGAUUUUGAGAAAUGGAGAGCCUUAAUUAAAAAUACAAGUAAAAAAUCCUCAGCUUUUCAGGGUCGACCUAUUUUUGGGUUCAAAACCAAUCACUUGAACUUGACUGCAACUAGUAGAAUUUUUUUUUAUUCCUUUGCUCUUCUAAUUUCUAUUCGUUAUCGCUAACUGCAUGAAGCAGCAAGUAUUGAUCACUAAUUAUCGUAUUCUGUGUAUCUUGAGAAAUGAGAUUAUUUUUGUUCGGAGAUCAUCUCCUCUCUUAAGGAAUGCUCCGAUUUAUUUUUCCAGUUACAUCUUUAAACAGAGUAUCGUUUUUCUAUUUUUUCCUAUCUUCUUUUGAGUAAUGCUAAUUUUUCUGGACCUGUUCCUUUCAGUCAGGGAUGCAACAACCCGAAUCUGAAAAGUUAAUCAUGUGGCACUUAUAUACUUUGAAUGGCAGAGCCUUGAAACAACUAGUUAAGGAAACUGGAUACCGCAGCAACAGAGAUGUUAAUGGUCAAAUAGCAAAAUUACAAAAAACACUGAUGAGUAAAAACAGUUGAAGAUUAUAAUGUAAAUGCUAAAAGAAAUGGUCUUAAUAAAAACACUUGAAGAUUAUGAUGAAUAAGCUAAAACCUGGUCAAAAUCUAUGAGUAACCACCUCUAGUAGUCUUAGCAUGGUGUUAAGGGAAUAGUAAGAGGACUGAUGAGUAAGUCUUUUACAUGCAAGGACUACGUAUUGUUAUUUAUACACGAGAGCAUGUUUUCCUUUCUAUAUGCUGGUAAAUACUAUGGCUACUUUAUAAUCACUUCUCUAGCAUAACUUCUCAUUUUUCUGGAAGUCGUAUUGGAUAUCGGCACUUUAAGGUAUGGUUACUUCUUUUAUCACUAAAGUAUUGGUUCUGCAAAUGGAGAAUUCUCAAGGCUUCAGGAAAAGUUUACCACACUAAAAAGUAACCUUUUAGAACGGAACUACUACUGCCAAAUGAAUUCUUCUGAUUCCAGCAAAAAAUGAUUUUACCUCUCAUCUGUUUUUUUUCAUCAUAGCAUGAAUGUUUUUCUUGAUUCAUGGACUAAAUAAUGCAGGUGAUUCAACAUAGAAUACUACCACUACCUUUCAUUGCAAAAGAAGAUUUCUUUACUUUCAACAUUAAGUCAACUGCCAACAACUCUUGCUUUAUCUGAAAGGUUUGGGUAAAUCUCAACUUGGAAUCUGUCUGUUUUGAGGUUCCAGUUACUUUCCUCACUGGGGUAAUGCAAGUCAUAAUCUUGGAGGAUGAGUAUAGGAGUAUAUAUUUAGGUGCAAACAAAUGCAUUCGCCUAUUCUGUUAUUCUAUGUUUUGCACUUGUAGCACACUAUUACUAGCAAGUUGCUGUCAUCUAAUGCUUGCUUCAGUUUCAACCUUAAUUUUAAGGAGCUGGGUAAGCCUUUGAUCUCCUAAUGAGUACUUGAAUAGGAUCUUCUAACAUUUUUGGCGCUUGAUAUCAAGAAAACUAGAUUAUCUAGCUAGUUGUCAAAAAUAAAUAAAUAAAUAAAGAACCUCUAGCUAAGGUAGGAUCCUUUUUGUAUUGCCAAGUUAGAAUCUCCUUUGUAUUCGACAAAUCAAUGUCAUUAAAUGGAAUUGCUGUGUGUUCAAAUGAAUGACAUUGUGAGUAUGUUGAGUGUUUCUGUGCCUGUUUAGAAUUCUAAAGUGCAGAGGUGAAAGUCUUCUUUUUAAUUUUUUUCUUACCAUGUAUGCUGCAUAUACAUGCUUUGUGCUGUCUAUCUUGAGACAUGCUGCUAAACUUGAAUUUCUGGGUUCAAGGAAGAACCACGGAAAGGUUUGGUUGAUAUGUGUAUGUGUGUGUACGCAUAUAUAAUGUCACAGAAAUUCUGAUCUGCUAGUUCUAAGCAUUUCUGUUCUCCUUUCACAUACAAGGCUUACAUAUACUCGGCAAUUCAACUAGACAUCACUAAGAUUUUCAUAUCUGCUGGAAGAGCAUGCGGCUGAAGUUCCUUUCUGUUGGAAGAUUGCUGGGAUGAUGAUUUCAAGAACCUCUGCAUGAAGUAUGAAAAAGAGGUAAAAAUGAGUGUGAAUUAAAUGAUCCUUGUCAUCAAUAAGUUACCAAGGAAUGAAGGUUGUCCAGGCACAAACUCUCUGAAGUCCCACCAACUAGGAUCCCUUACAUGUUUUGUUUCAGGGUAGUUGUAAUGAAAAAGACAACCAGCUACUGUGAAGUCUUCCAAUUGGAUUAUAUCCAAUGUUGCUAUAAGCUAGUGAGUGGCAUUUAUAAAGCGUGGCUGUUAAAAAUACAUAUUUAACGGUAAUUAAAUUAUUGCUGGUACACUGUACAGGCUGCCACCCAUGUGCCUAUAUCAAGAUUCCUUUCUCCUUUUAUAAAA